CAGUGAGGAUUGACAGAUUGAGAGCUCUUUCUUGAUUCUGUGGGUGGUGGUGCAUGGCCGUUUUUAGUUGGUGGAGUAAUUUGUCUGGUUAAUUCCGUUAACGAACGAGACCUUAACCUAUUAAAUAGUCGUGGGAACCCAGGUCUUUCAUCCUCUUUCUCAGCAAUGGGGGGAGGAAACCAUUAUCAUAUUGGUACCCUCUGGGUAUCAUGUGGUAGUGGUGAGGAUCUGAUAGUGUUCUUAUAGGCUUCUUAGAGGGACUCUUUGCAUCUUUAGCAAAUGGAAGUUUGAGGCAAAAACAGGUCUGUGAUGCCCUUCGAUGUUCUGGGCUGCACGCGCGUUACAAUGACGCAUGCAACGAGUUAUUAAAUUCCUGGCCCGAUGGGGUUGGGUAAUCUUUUUAAAGUGCGUCGUGAUGGGGAUAGAGCAUUGCAAUUAUUGUUCUUGAACGAGGAAUUCCUAGUAAUUGCAGGUCAUCAACCUGCGAUGAUUACGUCCCUGCCCUUUGUACACACCG
RNAcentral lists this ribosomal RNA (517 nucleotides) under uncultured eukaryote. RNAcentral's name for it is "bacterial SSU rRNA". It matches the Rfam family "Eukaryotic small subunit ribosomal RNA", at positions 1231 to 1671 of the family's 1831-position model. The record is from RNAcentral.